This 360-nucleotide ribosomal RNA is filed under the name uncultured bacterium. RNAcentral's name for it is "partial 16S ribosomal RNA". It matches the Rfam family "Bacterial small subunit ribosomal RNA", at positions 338 to 696 of the family's 1533-position model. The record is from RNAcentral.
CCUACGGGUGGCAGCAGUGAGGAAUAUUGGUCAAUGGCCGGAAGGCUGAACCAGCCAAGCCGCGUGAGGGAGGAAGGCGCAGAGCGCCGCAGACCUCUUUUGCCGGGGGACAAAAGGCAGGACUCGUCCGGUCCUCAGGGUACCCGUAGAAAAAGCAUCGGCUAACUCCGGGCAAGCAGCCGCGGUAAUACGGAGGAUGCGAGCGUUAUCCGGAUUAAGUGGGUUUAAAGGGUGCGCAGGCGGGCCUUUAAGCCGGCGGUGAAAUCGCGGGGCUCAACCCCGCCGAGCCGUCGGAACUGGGGGCCUUGAGUGCGGCGGAGGAGAGCGGAAUGCGGGGUGUAGCGGUGAAAUGCGUAGAUA